RNAcentral lists this transfer RNA (75 nucleotides) under Lachnospiraceae bacterium. RNAcentral's name for it is "tRNA_Gly_CCC". It matches the Rfam family "tRNA". From Rfam's summary of the family: Transfer RNA (tRNA) molecules are approximately 80 nucleotides in length. Their secondary structure includes four short double-helical elements and three loops (D, anti-codon, and T loops). Lineage: Bacteria; Bacillati; Bacillota; Clostridia; Lachnospirales; Lachnospiraceae. The record is from RNAcentral.
GCAGAUAUAGUACAGUGGUUAGUAUUCCGGCUUCCCAAGCCAGCGACACGGGUUCGAAUCCCGCUAUCUGCUUCA